UACGUAGGGUGCGAGCGUUAAUCGGAAUUACUGGGCGUAAAGCGUGCGCAGGCGGUGAUGUAAGACAGAUGUGAAAUCCCCGGGCUCAACCUGGGAACUGCAUUUGUGACUGCAUCGCUGGAGUGCGGCAGAGGGGGAUGGAAUUCCGCGUGUAGCAGUGAGAUGCGUAGAUAUGCGGAGGAACACCGAUGGCGAAGGCAAUCCCCUGGGCCUGCACUGACGCUCAUGCACGAAAGCGUGGGGAGCAAACAGG
RNAcentral lists this ribosomal RNA (253 nucleotides) under uncultured bacterium. Its description in RNAcentral is "partial 16S ribosomal RNA". It matches the Rfam family "Bacterial small subunit ribosomal RNA", at positions 524 to 776 of the family's 1533-position model. The record is from RNAcentral.